Molecule: ribosomal RNA, 197 nt
Filed under: uncultured soil bacterium
Lineage: Bacteria
Description: partial 16S ribosomal RNA
Rfam family: Bacterial small subunit ribosomal RNA
Source: RNAcentral
AGGACGAACGCUGGCGGCGUGCUUAACACAUGCAAGUCGAGCGGUAAGGCCUUUCGGGGUACACGAGCGGCGAACGGGUGAGUAACACGUGGGUGAUCUGCCCUGCACUCUGGGAUAAGCCUGGGAAACUGGGUCUAAUACCGGAUAUGACCUGCUCUCGCAGUGGGGGUGGGUGGAAAGAUUUAUCGGUGCAGGAU